GAUUAACGCUGGCGGCGUGCAUAACACAUGCAAGUCGAACGAUGAAACUCAUUCGAUUUCUUCGGAAUGAAAAUGAAUGGAUUAGUGGCGAACGGGUGAGUAACGCGUGAGUAACCUGCCUUACACAAGGGGAUAGCCUCUGGAAACGGAGAAUAAUACCCUAUGAAACCAGACAAUCGCAUGAUAAUCUGGUCAAAAUGUUUAGUGGUGUAAGAUGGACUUGCGUCUGAUUAGCUAGUUGGUGAGAUAAAAGCUCACCAAGGCAACGAUCAGUAGCCGGCUUGAGAGAGUGUACGGCCACAUUGGGACUGAGACACGGCCCAGACUCCUACGGGAGGCAGCAGUGGGGAAUUUUGCACAAUGGGGGAAACCCUGAUGCAGCGACGCCGCGUGAUUUAGAAGGCCUUCGGGUUGUAAAGAUCUUUUGUAUAGGAAGAAAAUGACAGUACUAUACGAAUAAGGUCCGGCUAAUUACGUG
This 478-nucleotide ribosomal RNA is filed under the name uncultured bacterium. RNAcentral describes it as "partial 16S ribosomal RNA". It matches the Rfam family "Bacterial small subunit ribosomal RNA", at positions 28 to 507 of the family's 1533-position model. The record is from RNAcentral.